GUGUCAUGGCGCACUUAGAAUAAUGUUGUGAAAUGUAAACUUAAAUCAUUAUGUAAAUAAUAGUAUAAUUGUUAUUUUAUGUAUACAUUAAGUUCAGUGAAGUGUACACAUAUGUGAUUACGAUGGAAGAUGAUAUUUGUGAUGUGACAUCAAAGGACUGGUUACUGCCUGCAUGUACUUCCCUGGCACAGCUGGAGCAGGUCAGCACUUCUGUGUACAACAUUAGACUCGGGGAGCCAAUCAGUGCUAUUGCCAAGAACACUCACCAGAAGUCACAAACUAGAUCCUUGUAUGACAAAAGAGCAUGGGGUAGCAAUACAUCAAUCAAUGGUCUAACAAAUCAGACACAUGAGACCUACAGACAAACUAGAAAACAGAUUGUUAGCAAACCGGUGCGGCCAUCAAGUGCAAAGAAUUACAGAACUGCUCAGCUGACAUCCAACAAGAAGAUUCGUCCACAGAGUGCCAAGAAUGUGUCCCACUCAUCCAGGUCGGAAAUUAAGCCACCACUUAUUGCUGUAAAAGGCUCCAAGUAUGAUCAGAACAGUCGACCUCCUAAAAGACCAGUGCACACCACAGUAUCAGAGGGAUGGGUGGGGCCACCAGCAGGAGUCAAGAUGGAUGAUGUCAUUAAUAUUAUUUCUGACUCAGAGUCUUUCAUACAGACAGACAAAGCCAAGUUUGAGCUAUGCAAUGAAAAUAUCCCACCCCCACCUCAGGCCACCCCAGAACCAGAAUCAACGUUGGAUGGAUUUAGUGAGGUUGAAUCCAUUGUAUCAGAGAAUGAAGUGGAAGCAGUAUUACAACGUAAGCCAACACAGGAAUCGAUUCAUCUUUCCCUGCCUUCAGCUGGAGAGGAGGAAGAAGAAGGGUCGGAGUGGGACACAGAAAGAGUAUUGCAGGAAGUACAAGCUCUUUCACUGCAACGACAGGAGGUCACAGUUAAAUACCAUCACCAGUCUGAUUUGUCUUGUCACCAAGCAAGCAUGAUGACUGAUCCACCUGCAAGCAAUGAACUUGUCAAGCCCAUGGAGAAACCAGAAGAAUCUCAUAGAUCCAGGAGCCCAAGUUCAUACAACAUCAAUGAGAGAACAAUCAUGUUGUCAGCAAACACUGCACACCGUGAAGCUCAUUUAAGUUCUAAACCAGCUCACAUAAGUGGCACUCACUGGGAUCAUUCUAGAGGUGGAAGUGUUAGGAUUUGUGAGGACAAAAAUAUAACAUUCCACAUUACACCCAGAAACAGAGGAUACAGAGUAAAUAAUAAGAUAGCCAGAUGUUAUUCAAAUCUUCAGUCCAAAACAAGAAAAAUGGAUUUGACAAAUAUCAAGAGUCGUGUAAAUACGGGAAUCGACGUCCAGGCGGUCAUUGCUGAGCAGAAAAGUAAGCAAAGCUUUUCAACUACUAAUACAGAUAACUGUAAUCAUCUAGGUUUGGAAGUAAAUGCAAAAUCAGUAGGAAAGAAAGUUAACAUGAAACCAUCAUCUGUACCCAUAGUAAUGGUUAAAUAUAAUAAUGAACAAAGUGAUGCAUCAAGUUCUGACAAACCUGUUGGACACAGAAGGAAACACGAAGUUAUUACUAUGGUUUCGCAGUUCGACCUGUCCGAUAGUGAAGAUGAUAGGUUGAAAGAGAGAAGUCCUGAACAAACUAACAAAAAGGAAUCUUUACAAACACCAUCAGCCAUGCAGCUAGUUCGAUCAAGUCCAGUAAAGAAUUAUUAUGAAGUGGCUAUGCGAACUGAGCAGGGUAAAAAACUUGAUGACAGUGACAAUUCUACUGAUAAUUUUUUAUACAAAACUAUAAAGACAAUUGAGUUUGAUGAGAUUGGACAUUCACCACGAGAAAGCACAGUUAAAAGUAUAAUUCCAGGCACAACGUCAGUGACCAAACCGAGACAAAAGCUAGCAGUUAGUGUUGACUAUUUAGGUCGACAGAGAUCUGCAUCAUUAUCAACGCAAAAGGCUGACAAGACUUCAAUUUUAAUUCCUGGCUCUCCACAAUCAGAAAAGAAUGAAAAACGAGAGAAGAGUGAAAGUACUGAGAAAAGUGGUAAUACAGUGGUAGAAAACAAAGUACUGUACGACACAAAUCAAAACAGAAUACCAAGAGUAAGAAAGACUCGUCAUCAAAGCAAAUACCUGUCUUUGCCAAGUCAUCAAAAACCAGCACGAAGAAGAAACAUUUGGCAAUGCAAAGACAAUGAGACUGAAAGCAUUUCCUCUGAAUGUACAGAUCUGUCAACAACAACUGCUGAGCCUAUGGCAGAUGAGAUAUUUGACAAAUCUCAUUCAACAUCCCCAGAGAGUACACGACCUAACAGCGGCAUAUCCAACAAGUCUUUGAGUCGACCAGCCUCUUGUUUUGAAGCAUCUCUUCACAGAAUGAAAUCAUUUGACACUCGCCGCAUACAAUCAGCUGCCCUGGCUGCAGAAAGAGAACACAAGAAAUAUGCAGUGUAUACCCGUUCCUUUGCCCGGCGACAGAUCAUGCAGAGUCCACCUCCACUAAAAGAUGUUGUAUAUCUCAACACUAAGAAACACCCAGAUGCUGAAUCAGAAGAAACACUUGCCUGUCAAGAAAUGAAGGACAAACUAGCUGGGCUUGGCUUGAAUAUUAAAGCUGAGACACUGGAAAGAGCGCUGUUUCCUCCAUCUGGCAAGACACUACACUAUGAAAUGCAGAGAGACGUCCUACGUUCUCCAGCUGCUGGGCUUUUAAGCCACCCCAAAUUCUGGCUUCCUGCUGAAUACAUGAAGCUAAAAAUAGCAGAAAAACAAUUGGCUCGGGCAGAACAUACACUGUGGCUCCAGAAAAAGGAGGAAGAACGAGAAGUUAAGAGUGUGUUAGGUCUAACAUCUGUAAACAAAACUAAGAAGAGCAAAAAGAAAAGAGGAAAGACAAAAAUAAAGCGACCUGCCAGUGUCAGUUGAUCUCAUUAAACAAACACCUGCUGAACACUUGGCUGCUGCUGAAAGCAAACAGAAGCUACCCAACAUACAUCAAAUCCUAUACCUUGUACCAGCUAAAUUUUAAAUAGUUUUUCAGACCUUCAUUUUUAAGGUGCACGUGUGCAAUCACACUUCUACAGCACACAUAAUUUCAAUCUGACGAGUAUAAAAAACAAUGCAUGUUACACUUAAGAAACCGCUAACGUAAAUUAAUUUUGUAUAUUUAUUGCCACUUUAUACAAAAUCGGCAGUUUUCUACCUUCUGUAGCUGAUAGUCACUUUUAACGGUAUAGCUUCCAUGCAAGCUUUUAAUAGUAUUCUCACUGCUAAGCAAAGCAGAAAAUACUGGUUUAAUAAAGAAAUUCUUUUGCCUACCAGUAUUUAAUUUAGUUAAUUAGAAGUACAUGUAGUUUACUUUUUCAAAGGUAAUAGAUCACAACGUCUGAUAUAGGCUCACUCAUUUAUAUUGUGUAUAUAGUUAUGAAAAAAUGGAAUUGAAUUAAAUAGUGCUUUCCGUAGCCUACACAAAUGAACUCAUUAUGGAAAUCAGUGGAGUCGGCCAAAUUGUUUCGAUCAGUUUAUAGCAGUUAGCCUACAAAGCUUGCGUGAGGUCCUGCAAAUGGCAAGCGUGCAACACAACUUUAAAAAAAAAUUAAUUAAAUUUAGCCAGACAGUUCAAGAGUAGAGAGAAUUUAAAAAAAAAAAGAGUAAUAGUUAGGUACAUGUAUGUAGGAAUAGGCCUAGGUCUCAUUUACCAAAAACGUCUUUUUGAUUUUUGUGCAUCUAUUUUUUUUUAAAUAAAAAAAAUGAACUAAAACUUCAUUUAUAUGUUUAUAUUUCAGCCAGAGAUUAAAACUGAUAAAUGUACAUCUGUUAUUUAUGCUGGUUACAAGCCAGACAUUUGAGCUCCAGAGCAUUUCACUCUACUUUCAAGUUGGAAGUUGUUGAUAUGGUAAUUACAAGCACAUUCGAACAUCAUUAUUCUACAUCGAACGUCACAUGAAUUAAAAGAAAUAUGGCAGCAGAGGCCUUAGGGUUCUGUAAAUAAAUGGACAACUGAGGUGAGACACUUAAAAACCUGGUUAUCCUAAAAUAAUCCUCUCUAGUAAUAUGUGACUGAACUUUCUUUGGUGUGGCCCUGCACUUGGCCACCGAGAUGAAAGACUAUUAUUAUAUCCCGUUAUGAAUAACAUGUAGCUAUAGAUACUGGGAGGAGUGAAAAUAAUCAAGACUUAAAAGUUAUAUGGACAGGUAACAGAUGAUACAAAACAAAUAAUUAUGGAAGACAAAAUAAGUAUUUCAUUUGGAGACCAUUGCAUCAAACCAAGCAAGCUUGGCACCUUUAAGAAUUUAAAACAAUUAAAUUUAAAUGGCCCAUUGAUGGCAAACCGUGUCAGCCGUGAUGUCUCUUGCCACCAAGCAUGCACUUAAGGUAUUCAUUAUGGAGCCCUGCCCAGGUUCUUCCCAUGCAGUAGAUAUUAUGUGGAUAGGUUUACAGCUGCCAUUAAUUCAAUAAAUGUACCGGCCUCAGUGGCGUAGUGGUUAGGCCAUCGGUCUACAGGCUGGUAGGUAUUGGGUUCGGAUCCCAGUCGAGGCAU
Gigantopelta aegis is the source of this 4549-nucleotide RNA transcript. RefSeq lists it as uncharacterized. Lineage: Eukaryota; Metazoa; Mollusca; Gastropoda; Neomphalida; Peltospiridae. The record is from RefSeq and is a predicted model, not a curated record. The transcript has 17 exons.